CAGCCGCCACGGUAACACGUAGGGUGCAAGCGUUAAUCGGAAUUACUGGGCGUAAAGCGUGCGCAGGCGGUUAUAUAAGACAGAUGUGAAAUCCCCGGGCUCAACCUGGGAACUGCAUUUGUGACUGUAUAGCUAGAGUACGGCAGAGGGGGAUGGAAUUCCGCGUGUAGCAGUGAAAUGCGUAGAUAUGCGGAGGAACACCGAUGGCGAAGGCAAUCCCCUGGGCCUGUACUGACGCUCAUGCACGAAAGCGUGGGGAGCAAACAGGAUUAGAUACCCGUGUAGUCCCUGUCUCUUAUAA
Molecule: ribosomal RNA, 301 nt
Filed under: uncultured bacterium
Lineage: Bacteria
Description: partial 16S ribosomal RNA
Rfam family: Bacterial small subunit ribosomal RNA
Source: RNAcentral